GUUCACGGCCGCCGGAGCUCUGAAAUGGGGCAACGUUACGUUAAGGACUACCGCAUGGCUGUGGUUAUAAGGUAGCGAACGGAAGCAGUUGUUUACAUACUUUCGCGGUGUUUUAUUCGAUUUCGCGGUGUCUCUUUUAUCCGACAUUACAGUGUAAUUACGCUAUACUGGACUCUGCAAAAAUUAUAGCAAGAAGUCGUGACUACAGUCGAACAUAUAACACAAUAUGCCAGAAAAAUGUUGUGUUCGUGGUUGCAACAGCAACUACAAAUCCAGCAAGGAAGAGGGUUACAUCGCAGUGUUCAGAUUCUGAAGAGGAAAACAGAAAACGAUGGACAAGAAAUAUCCCCAUAAAGGACUCGACUCCAUCAAAUAGAAGUGUUGUUUGUAUUAAACAUUUUGAAGAAUGUGGUGUAUCAAGAGUGGAGAUUUACAAGGACUCUGAUGGGAACUGUCAUGAGUUUCCUCGUCAAAGGCCAUUGUUUUUACCAGAAGCUGUGCCAAAAAUGUUCCCUAGGUUACCAUCGUAUUUAAGUAAGGUGCAGCCUCCAAGAAGGUGUGACCCAGAAAUAAGAAGGAAGCGUGCACACCAUGAAGAGGAGAAGAAUGAAGCCAUGCUAAAUGAGGACAUUAUUGCAAAUUUUCAGUGUGUGUGUGCUGUGUACCAGGAUAGAAUAAACAGUGUAGGAAAGUGGAGUGUUAGUGUUAAAGAGAAUAAGAUAUUCUUUUAUACUAUAGAUUUUUCUGAAGACAUUCCUCAGGUCAAAGUGAGUAUGGAAAUUAAUGACAAACUCAUUUCAAGUGUGUGUGAGCAGCUCAGUUGGAGUCUACCUUCCUCACUUAGAAUAACCAGAUGGUCAUAAAUAGAAAAUAUUUUGAGUAGAGAUAUCAAAUGUGAUAGCUACACACCCACUUUUAGUUCUCCUUUACAUGAAUUAAAGAAUUUUGUAAAGAUACUUACUCUGCAUUCAGAAGCUAAUCCAAAUUGCUGUGCCACACUCUUGUUUCUGUUGGAACAGAUAGAUUUGUUGGCAAUGAAUAAGCGGAUGCAUGCAUUUAUCAUCUACAACCAAUCUCCAGCAUGCUAUACAGCACUCCGGUCAAAUGGAUUACUUACCUUACCACAUGUGAAACACAUU
This is a long non-coding RNA of Schistocerca nitens (vagrant locust), 1139 nucleotides long. RefSeq lists it as uncharacterized. The record is from RefSeq and is a predicted model, not a curated record. NCBI's taxonomy places the organism in Eukaryota, Metazoa, Arthropoda, Insecta, Orthoptera, Acrididae. The transcript has 3 exons.